This 500-nucleotide ribosomal RNA is filed under the name uncultured bacterium. RNAcentral describes it as "partial 16S ribosomal RNA". It matches the Rfam family "Bacterial small subunit ribosomal RNA", at positions 29 to 523 of the family's 1533-position model. The record is from RNAcentral.
AUUGAACGCUGGCGGCAUGCCUUACACAUGCAAGUCGAACGGCAGCACGGACUUCGGUCUGGUGGCGAGUGGCGAACGGGUGAGUAAUACAUCGGAACGUGCCCAGUAAUGGGGGAUAACGCAGCGAAAGUUGUGCUAAUACCGCAUACGCCCUGAGGAGGAAAGUGGGGGAUCGCAAGACCUCAUGUUAUUGGAGCGGCCGAGGGCUGAUUAGCUAGUGGGUGAGGCAAAGGCUCACCAAGGCGACGAUCAGUAGCUGGUCUGAGAGGACUCACAGCAACACUGUGACUGAGAGACGGACCAGAAUCGUACGGGUAGAAGCAGUGGGGAAUGUUGGAGAAUGGGAGAAAGGCUGAUCCAGCAAUGCCGCGUGUGCGAAGAAGGCCUGCGGGUUAUAAAGCACUUUUGUCAGGGAAGAAAACUGUUGGGCUAAUACCCGAAUAGGAUGACGGUACCUGAAGAAUAAGCACCGGCUAACUACGUGCCAGCCGCCGCCGUAA